GCCAUAGCGUCCCUGCAUUGACGCUUAAAAAGUGUAAGGUUCAAUUUGUAUGCAUAAUCGGAAAUUUGGAAUGUUGAAUCAAUAGUGUUUACCAGUGGAGUGUCAACUUCAACAAAUAUAGAGCUCAGUUUGUACUCCCAGUCGAGUUCACAUAUACAAGCCGCAAGCGCUGAGCCUGCAGGAAAUGUAGUCCAUAAUUUGGUUCUUGGGCAUUUGAUCAAGGAUGGAAUGAUCAAGAAAUCAUAAUAUCAAGAUAUUAUGUUCAAACCUUGUGCCAGGGAGAGUCAAGCUUUGCAUUGGAAAGCACAUGAAUGCCUGGAGAAACCUCUUGAACUAGAAUAGGCUCUCCUUUUGGUCUGUUGGAGAGGUAGACCAUGGUUUUGGAUUGAAGAUCUGCCAAUAUCAGGUUAAAACCCAUUAUACUGGUGAGCCUCUUUUACCAACUCUUGUGCAAAUUCCUUUGUACUCUUCAAGCUCUGCCACAGUUUCAUAAUCAUACACAUAAUUAACCUUUAUCAUAAUGUUGAAAUUGCAUCCCAUAUAGAGAACUACAUGAUACACAUUAGUACGAGUCAUGAAACUUUUACCUUCAAGAAAAGCACAGGCAAGUCUCCCCGGGUUUUCGCCUCCGGUAGGGUUUGAUUCUCGAGAACGUUUGUAAGCAAAGCAACUCUUCCUCUUCUUGAACAGGCCAGCCAUGUUCCUCCUGCAACUUCAUCUCUCCCGCCUCAUAUCUCACCACCUUCCCACCAUUCCACAGGCUUCGUAGGCCUUUACAUGUUUCAAAGACAUAAUUAACAGAACAUAAGCAAUAACCCUCAGACAAAUUAAACAACAAACCAAUGAUCUCAGUCUGGUCAUUUCAUACCUGUUGUGGUAUUCAUCUCUGUUAUCCAAGAGAAGGAGAGGGUACAAUGGGUGGUCUUGCCAUAUGAACACUGCUAUACACAUAUCUCUAUAACUCAAGCCUCAAAGGAGGUACUGGUGCUGCUAUAUAAGCUUCAAGAUGAAUAGAUUAGUUACUGCAGGCACCUAUAUAUAAGCUAUCUCCAAGACUAGGAACUGGGUCUGCUCUAUAUUUUCUGGCUGGUUUUUGUAUAACUAGUGGCCAAAGCCUAAAUCCGUGAGUUUUCAUUCAUGCUAAUCUGAAUCAGUGAGAUCAUUCAGUCUAAUCAGACAGGUCCCCAGUCGGUUAUUUAACUUUGAGUCACUGAAGUUGGUCAUAGUCUUAUUGGUCCAAGGAUUUCUUAACUACUUGUUUUGGCCAUGUUGACAGAUAUAGUAGGCAAGCGGGAACAGCAGUUUAAUGAAAUCAGAGGCGCCGCUUCAUUUACUAUUUUCCUUUGGAUACAGAGCAUGUAGUGUUAUCCAAUUCCAAACAAAAGGAUCAUUAUUCAUUAGUAUUGAAAACGUGACACAUUACAAAUCUGUAAUGUCAUAUUUCAUAUUC
Long non-coding RNA from Argentina anserina (silverweed cinquefoil), 1450 nucleotides. RefSeq lists it as uncharacterized. The transcript has 2 exons. NCBI's taxonomy places the organism in Eukaryota, Viridiplantae, Streptophyta, Magnoliopsida, Rosales, Rosaceae. The record is from RefSeq and is a predicted model, not a curated record.